Solanum dulcamara is the source of this 352-nucleotide long non-coding RNA. RefSeq lists it as uncharacterized. Lineage: Eukaryota; Viridiplantae; Streptophyta; Magnoliopsida; Solanales; Solanaceae. The record is from RefSeq and is a predicted model, not a curated record. The transcript has 3 exons.
AAAGAUUUUAAAUUUUAUUGCUGAUAAGAACUUGGGGAUACUCAAUUGUCUUGAUUAGCCACUGAAACGGAAGAGUGAAACAGCAAAUUAUGAACAUGGAGUCGGUGCACAGGUUGCAGGUUCUGGAUCCAAUCUCAGGGAAAGCUGGAAAGUCACAGAAAGUACCUAGGACAUCAAAGGCCAGGUCUGAUAGAAAAGAAACUCAAAAACAGGAUCCCAUGGAAGGGGUUAGAUGUCUCAAGACCAGGGGAAGUUGAUGAGAGUGUUACAAGAUUGCAGGCAGGAGUAGAAAAUUUGACGAUAGAAGAAAGUAGAUUAGAUGAACAGAUAAGGUUAUCUUCUGAUGCCUCUG